This 210-nucleotide unclassified non-coding RNA is filed under the name soil metagenome. RNAcentral describes it as "partial contains 5.8S ribosomal RNA, internal transcribed spacer 2, and large subunit ribosomal RNA". The record is from RNAcentral.
AACCUUAUGGACCUGCGGGCGUAUACCUGCGGAAGGAUCAUUAUCGUGGAGCUUCGGCUCCUUCGAGGGAGAACCCUUGCCUUUUCGAGCACCUGUUUGUUUCCUCGGCAGGCCCGCCUGCCAACGGGGACCCCUAAAACUCUUGCAAUAACCUGUACAUAAUCGUCUGAACAAAAAAAAAUCUAAAUCAAAACUUUUAACAACGGAUCU